AAAAACAAAACGGUACUGAGAAAAAAUCUUAAAAGUUCCAACAGACGAAGAAAUUGAUGAUUCAGAUUGAAACAAAUUCAUAAAACACAUUUAAACCUUACAAGUCGUUAUUGUUGGCAUCUGUUUUUGUAGGAUUAAUAGAAGUAAUUUCUUAGCGCUAACAGUAUUGAAGACUUGCUCGUUUUGAGAAUCACUAGUCUUAAUUUCACACGUUAAGAUAGUCGGUAAGAUAAAUUCGUUACAUAGU
RNAcentral lists this long non-coding RNA (247 nucleotides) under Mytilus galloprovincialis (Mediterranean mussel). The record is from RNAcentral. Lineage: Eukaryota; Metazoa; Mollusca; Bivalvia; Mytilida; Mytilidae.